GACGAACGCUGGCGGCGUGCUUAACACAUGCAAGUCGAACGGAAAGGCCCUGCUUUUGUGGGGUGCUCGAGUGGCGAACGGGUGAGUAACACGUGAGUAACCUGCCCUUGACUUUGGGAUAACUUCAGGAAACUGGGGCUAAUACCGGAUAGGAGCUCCUGCUGCAUGGUGGGGGUUGGAAAGUUUCGGCGGUUGGGGAUGGACUCGCGGCUUAUCAGCUUGUUGGUGGGGUAGUGGCUUACCAAGGCUUUGACGGGUAGCCGGCCUGAGAGGGUGACCGGCCACAUUGGGACUGAGAUACGGACCAGACUCCUACGGGAGGCAGCAGUGGGGAAUAUUGCACAAUGGGCGGAAGCCGGAUGCAGAAACGCCGCGUGCGGGAUGACGGCCUUCGGGUUGUAAACCGCUUUCGCCUGUGACGAAGCGUGAGUGACGGUAAUGGGUAAAGAAGCACCGGCUAACUACGUG
This 468-nucleotide ribosomal RNA is filed under the name uncultured bacterium. Its description in RNAcentral is "partial 16S ribosomal RNA". It matches the Rfam family "Bacterial small subunit ribosomal RNA", at positions 28 to 507 of the family's 1533-position model. The record is from RNAcentral.